Long non-coding RNA from Saccostrea echinata, 231 nucleotides. RefSeq lists it as uncharacterized. The transcript is spliced from 3 exons. Lineage: Eukaryota; Metazoa; Mollusca; Bivalvia; Ostreida; Ostreidae. The record is from RefSeq and is a predicted model, not a curated record.
AAAAGAUUAGGUGUGCCUUCUCGUCGGAACACAUCAAGUGUGCCGCAUAAUGUCACCAAACAAGUUAUAGAGAAUCUAUUACCUGAUCUUCCCGAGACUGUUGGGUACAGAUCUUUAACAUCCAUUCUUCGAAGAAAAGUUUACGCCGUCCAAAGGGAUGUUGUCAUGAAAUUACUAAGGAAAUUGGACCCCGAAGGCACUAAAAUCAGAAGGAGGAGGUGAAUCCUGAGA